RNAcentral lists this long non-coding RNA (397 nucleotides) under Mytilus galloprovincialis (Mediterranean mussel). Lineage: Eukaryota; Metazoa; Mollusca; Bivalvia; Mytilida; Mytilidae. The record is from RNAcentral.
UUUCAAAAAGAAAUGAAACAGAAAAGAAAAAAAAUUGCCAGACAAGAUGAAAACUACAGAAAACAUGAGUCCGAACGAGACUUCCACAGAAAACAAGAAUAUAGGUCACAUCCAGAAAAUUUAGAAAAUGAGCGUUUGAAGAAACAGAGUUCUAGACAGAACAAACUAGAUAUAGACAGAUGUUAUGAUAAAACAGUUAAAAGUACUAAAAGAAAAAACAUUGAUUUCACAGAUCAUGAAAAAAACCUAAAAAAAAAAAGAGUUCAAGGUAUAACCCUUGAUGCUUGCAUAAGAAAUUUUAAAACAAAAAUUAAUCAUGGUCCUACAUAUAUAUGUACUUCAUGUCAACAAACUUGGUUUUGUGAUUCUGUAGUUAAUUCUAAAACUGUCAAAAUGA